AAAUUGAAGAGUUUGAUCAUGGCUCAGAUUGAACGCUGGCGGCAGGCCUAACACAUGCAAGUCGAACGGUAACAGGAAGCAGCUUGCUGCUUCGCUGACGAGUGGCGGACGGGUGAGUAAUGUCUGGGAAACUGCCUGAUGGAGGGGGAUAACUACUGGAAACGGUGGCUAAUACCGCAUAACGUCGCAAGACCAAAGAGGGGGACCUUCGGGCCUCUUGCCAUCAGAUGUGCCCAGAUGGGAUUAGCUAGUUGGUGAGGUAACGGCUCACCAAGGCGACGAUCCCUAGCUGGUCUGAGAGGAUGACCAGCCACACUGGAACUGAGACACGGUCCAGACUCCUACGGGAGGCAGCAGUGGGGAAUAUUGCACAAUGGGCGCAAGCCUGAUGCAGCCAUGCCGCGUGUAUGAAGAAGGCCUUCGGGUUGUAAAGUACUUUCAGCGGGGAGGAAGGUGUUGUGGUUAAUAACCGCAGCAAUUGACGUUACCCGCAGAAGAAGCACCGGCUAACUCCGUGCCAGCAGCCGCGGUAAUACGGAGGGUGCAAGCGUUAAUCGGAAUUACUGGGCGUAAAGCGCACGCAGGCGGUCUGUCAAGUCGGAUGUGAAAUCCCCGGGCUCAACCUGGGAACUGCAUUCGAAACUGGCAGGCUUGAGUCUUGUAGAGGGGGGUAGAAUUCCAGGUGUAGCGGUGAAAUGCGUAGAGAUCUGGAGGAAUACCGGUGGCGAAGGCGGCCCCCUGGACAAAGACUGACGCUCAGGUGCGAAAGCGUGGGGAGCAAACAGGAUUAGAUACCCUGGUAGUCCACGCCGUAAACGAUGUCUACUUGGAGGUUGUGCCCUUGAGGCGUGGCUUCCGGAGCUAACGCGUUAAGUAGACCGCCUGGGGAGUACGGCCGCAAGGUUAAAACUCAAAUGAAUUGACGGGGGCCCGCACAAGCGGUGGAGCAUGUGGUUUAAUUCGAUGCAACGCGAAGAACCUUACCUGGUCUUGACAUCCACAGAACUUUCCAGAGAUGGAAUGGUGCCUUCGGGAACUGUGAGACAGGUGCUGCAUGGCUGUCGUCAGCUCGUGUUGUGAAAUGUUGGGUUAAGUCCCGCAACGAGCGCAACCCUUAUCCUUUGUUGCCAGCGGUUAGGCCGGGAACUCAAAGGAGACUGCCAGUGAUAAACUGGAGGAAGGUGGGGAUGACGUCAAGUCAUCAUGGCCCUUACGACCAGGGCUACACACGUGCUACAAUGGCGCAUACAAAGAGAAGCGACCUCGCGAGAGCAAGCGGACCUCAUAAAGUGCGUCGUAGUCCGGAUUGGAGUCUGCAACUCGACUCCAUGAAGUCGGAAUCGCUAGUAAUCGUGGAUCAGAAUGCCACGGUGAAUACGUUCCCGGGCCUUGUACACACCGCCCGUCACACCAUGGGAGUGGGUUGCAAAAGAAGUAGGUAGCUUAACCUUCGGGAGGGCGCUUACCACUUUGUGAUUCAUGACUGGGGUGAAGUCGUAACAAGGUAACCGUAGGGGAACCUGCGGUUGGAUCACCUCCUUACCUUAAAGAAGC
Molecule: ribosomal RNA, 1554 nt
Filed under: Salmonella enterica subsp. enterica serovar Bovismorbificans
Lineage: Bacteria; Pseudomonadati; Pseudomonadota; Gammaproteobacteria; Enterobacterales; Enterobacteriaceae
Description: bacterial SSU rRNA
Rfam family: Bacterial small subunit ribosomal RNA
Source: RNAcentral